CAGUAGCCGCGGUAAUACGUAGGGUGCGAGCGUUAAUCGGAAUUACUGGGCGUAAAGCGUGCGCAGGCGGUUUUGUAAGACAGGCGUGAAAUCCCCGGGCUCAACCUGGGAAUGGCGCUUGUGACUGCAAAGCUAGAGUGCGGCAGAGGGGGAUGGAAUUCCGCGUGUAGCAGUGAAAUGCGUAGAUAUGCGGAGGAACACCGAUGGCGAAGGCAAUCCCCUGGGCCUGCACUGACGCUCAUGCACGAAAGCGUGGGGAGCAAACAGGAUUAGAUACCCGCGUAGUCCCUGUCUCUUAUAA
This 301-nucleotide ribosomal RNA is filed under the name uncultured bacterium. RNAcentral's name for it is "partial 16S ribosomal RNA". It matches the Rfam family "Bacterial small subunit ribosomal RNA", at positions 509 to 809 of the family's 1533-position model. The record is from RNAcentral.